Molecule: non-coding RNA, 18 nt
Filed under: Arabidopsis thaliana (thale cress)
Lineage: Eukaryota; Viridiplantae; Streptophyta; Magnoliopsida; Brassicales; Brassicaceae
Also listed under: 1 other name
Source: RNAcentral
UUCCCUCAGGAUAGCUGG